AUACGGAGGGUGCAAGCGUUAUUCGGAAUCACUGGGCGUAAAGGACGCGUAGGCGGGUUGGCAAGUCAGAUGUGAAAUCCUACAGCUUAACUGUAGAACUGCAUUUGAAACUGCUAACCUAGAGUAUGGGAGGGGGAGAUGGAAUUAGUGGUGUAGGAGUAAAAUCCGUAGAUAUCACUAGGAAUACCGAAAGCGAAGGCGAUCUCCUGGAACAUAACUGACGCUAAGGCGUGGAAGCGUGGGGAGCAAACAGGAUUAGAAACCCUAGUAGUCC
Molecule: ribosomal RNA, 274 nt
Filed under: uncultured bacterium
Lineage: Bacteria
Description: partial 16S ribosomal RNA
Rfam family: Bacterial small subunit ribosomal RNA
Source: RNAcentral